UUAAAGUUGUAGUAUUGCUAUUCUAAUGGUUGAUCAAAGAAGUGAUGACUAAACCUAGAAUUAUAUCCACAGACAGAGCAAAGAAUGGUAAUAAGAGUUUCAAGAGAACUUUGUGAUGGUAUUUGAAGCGGCACCGAACUCACAAACAUGAAGAUGAAAAGGAUCUUCGUGGCUUUGCUGCCCUGCAUCCCAAUUCAGCUUCACAGCAACAAGUCACUUUUCUCUGCGUAAUUAGGUUUUGCUUCUCCGUGCGAUAAACACUCAAACUGCGCCGCCGCGAUGCUGGCGUUCGUCAUCCGCCGCCAUAGCCGUAGUAUCCACGCACACUUCCGACCCAGUAACCUAUUCUCUUCUUCCUCCGCUGCCUCCGCAGUUCCUCCGCUGAAACCGUUUUCCGUUGUCGAGUACCUAGUAGAUUCCUGGGGUUUAUCUGCCGCCGAGGCAUCCAAGGCCUCCCGUUCCUUAUCAGAUGUCAAAUCUAGUAAGAAACCCGACUACUUCUUCAACUUCUUGAAGUCCCAGGGCUUCACCGACUCCAACAUCAAGAGGAUUAUCAAUGUCAACCCCAGAAGUGUCUGCGUAAAGGUGGAGCCAAAGUUCCGAUCUUGGCUUGACGCGGGAAUCUCGCAGUCCGACCUAGUAGAGAUAAUUACAUCAUAUCCACGUAUCCUCCACUAUAGCAUCCGUUCUGUCGUCUCCAGGUUGGAGUUCUGGGAUCGUCUGUUUGGAUCGAGGAAGCUUCUUGUUAAGCGUUUAAAGGAAAAAUGGUUUUUUACCUGCAGUGUUGAGAAAAGAAUCCUUCCCAACCUCAAAUUUCUUAUGGACGUGUGCGGUAUCUCAGAAGAGAAGGCGUCUCGAGCAAUGAGAAGCCGCCCUGAGUUACUUGCCAAGAAACUAGAUUCACUCCAGACUUUGGUCCGUAGAGCCGACGAGCUGGGCGUCCCUCGACAAUCUCCAAUGUAUCCACUCUUGCUUAUUGUUCUUUAUGGUAUCGACAAAGAAAAAUUCGAAGCCAAAAGCAAAUUUUUUAAGAGCCUUGGUUGGUCGGAGUCAGACUUCUUCACUGCAGUCAGGACAACGCCAACCUUGUUAACUAUUUCUCAACCUUACCUACAGAGGAAGAUAGAAUUUUUCGUUAAGGAAGUUGGCUAUUCUCCUUCCUUCAUAACUCAACGUCCAUUAAUUCUGCUAUUUAGUUUGGAUAAAAGGGUGAUUCCUAGGUUUCAAGUGUUGGAGUUGUUGAAGUCCGAAAAUUUAUGGACUGCAAAAGGGACUUUCUUCUAUUAUAUGAAGCUAUCUGACAAAAAGUUCAUUGAGAAGUUUGUGAUUCCAUAUAAAGAGAAGGUCCCUAAGCUAGUAGACAUUUAUUCCUUGCCGUCAACGGAGGUGUCCGUCUAAUUUUGAGUUCUAGCAAUCCCUAUAGAAGAUAUUUUUAGAAUAUGUAUUCAGAAAGAGAUCAAAGAAUGGUACGAGAGUUUCAAGAGAAUUUUGUGAUGGUAUUUGAGGCAGCACCGAGCUCACAAACAUGAAGAUGAAAAGGGUAUGGUAGUCUAAUGUUUUGGAAUUUAGUGUGUUUUAGUAGAAGAAUUUUCUCCAUUUCCAGCGAUCAUACAUGAUUUGAGUAGCAGAUCUUUACGGUUUGCUUCCCUGCAUCCCAAUUCAAGCCGUAAACCUACCAUAAUUUUGAUCAGAGUGCAAGAUUGAAUCAUCCUGUUUGACUUGGAAGGAGGAUUGCAUAAUGCUACCAUGUGUCAUUUGCUAACAUGUACUUACAAUUUGGAUAUCUGCAUCACAAUUUUCAUCUUUCAACACAGUUUAUUGUGUUCCUCAUGAAA
Molecule: RNA transcript, 1835 nt
Organism: Zingiber officinale
Lineage: Eukaryota; Viridiplantae; Streptophyta; Magnoliopsida; Zingiberales; Zingiberaceae
Exons: 3
Source: RefSeq, a predicted model, not a curated record